RNAcentral lists this ribosomal RNA (253 nucleotides) under uncultured bacterium. RNAcentral's name for it is "partial 16S ribosomal RNA". It matches the Rfam family "Bacterial small subunit ribosomal RNA", at positions 524 to 776 of the family's 1533-position model. The record is from RNAcentral.
UACGUAGGGUGCAAGCGUUGUCCGGAAUUAUUGGGCGUAAAGAGCUCGUAGGCGGUCUGUCGCGUCUGCUGUGAAAACUCAGGGCUUAACCCUGAGCUUGCAGUGGGUACGGGCAGACUAGAGUGCGGUAGGGGAGACUGGAAUUCCUGGUGUAGCGGUGAAAUGCGCAGAUAUCAGGAGGAACACCGGUGGCGAAGGCGGGUCGCUGGGCUGACACUGACGCUGAUGCGCGAAAGCUAGGGGAGCGAACGGG